GUGAAUCAUCGAAUUUUUGAACGCAAAUUGCGCUUCCUGGUAUCCCGGGAAGUAUGCCUGUUUGAGGAUCAGUAUUAACAAAAAAAUCGGUUUGGUUGCAAAUUGUGACGUUUCCGGGGUUUGGGCUAUCUUAACUUUUUUGGUUAAGGGGCUUAAAAUUGACCUUUUUUGCGCAUUUUGAGUCGUACAUAAAUUUUUUUUUUAUUCGUAUAUUCUUAAUGCCAAAAUCUUAUUAGAUGCGAUCACAUCGUGUUGUUUCGUUUCCAUAAAUUUUCCAUCAUUUAACCUCAACUCAGG
RNAcentral lists this unclassified non-coding RNA (297 nucleotides) under Glomeraceae sp. RNAcentral describes it as "partial contains 5.8S ribosomal RNA and internal transcribed spacer 2". The stretch from base 1 to 71 matches the Rfam family "5.8S ribosomal RNA", at positions 84 to 154 of the family's 154-position model. The record is from RNAcentral. Lineage: Eukaryota; Fungi; Glomeromycota; Glomeromycetes; Glomerales; Glomeraceae.